UACGAAGGGUGCUAGCGUUGCUCGGAAUGACUGGGCGUAAAGGGCGCGUAGGCGGUUCAUACAGUCAGAUGUGAAAUUCCCGGGCUUAACCUGGGGGGUGCAUUUGAUACGUGUGGGCUUGAGUGAGGAAGAGGGUUGUGGAAUUCCCAGUGUAGAGGUGAAAUUCGUAGAUAUCGGGAAGAACACCGGUGGCGAAGGCGGCAACCUGGUCCUUGACUGACGCUGAGGAGCGAAAGCGUGGGGAGCAAACAGG
This 253-nucleotide ribosomal RNA is filed under the name uncultured bacterium. Its description in RNAcentral is "partial 16S ribosomal RNA". It matches the Rfam family "Bacterial small subunit ribosomal RNA", at positions 524 to 776 of the family's 1533-position model. The record is from RNAcentral.